CCUACGGGCGGCAGCAGUGGGGAAUAUUGGGCAAUGGGCGCAAGCCUGACCCAGCAACGCCGCGUGAAGGAAGAAGGCUUUCGGGUUGUAAACUUCUUUUGUCAGGGAAGAGGAGAAGACGGUACCUGACGAAUAAGCCAUGGCUAACUACGUGCCAGCAGCCGCGGUAAUACGUAGGUGGCAAGCGUUGUCCGGAUUUACUGGGUGUAAAGGGCGUGUAGCCGGGUUGACAAGUCAGAUGUGAAAUCCUGCGGCUUAACCGCAGAACUGCAUUUGAAACUGUUGAUCUUGAGUACUGGAGAGGCAGACGGAAUUCCUAGUGUAGCGGUGAAAUGCGUAGAUAUUAGGAGGAACACCAGUGGCGAAGGCGGUCUGCUGGACAGCAACUGACGGUGAGGCGCGAAAGCGUGGGGAGCAAACAGGAUUACAUACCCCAGUAGUC
This 442-nucleotide ribosomal RNA is filed under the name uncultured bacterium. RNAcentral describes it as "partial 16S ribosomal RNA". It matches the Rfam family "Bacterial small subunit ribosomal RNA", at positions 338 to 795 of the family's 1533-position model. The record is from RNAcentral.